UUAAUUCAAAUACUUAUCUCUGUUGCCUAUGACAUUCACAUCAAAUGGUAUUUCCUCAUCCAUCUAUCAUCCGCUUCUCUCAUCUAUAUCUCCAGUCACGCUUCACUGCUCCUCUAAUUUUCUCUCUCUUUUUUUUUUUUUUUCGCAGAUCAAGCAUAGAUUGUUUCAUUAGCUUCGAAAUUCCUAUCCACAAUCCAUCUUUUCUGAAUAGCAAAGAGUAGAUGAGAGAAUCAAAAGUGUGUCCAACAAAAGUUACUAGAAGAUCUAGGAAGCAAAAAACUCAUUCCAAGUUCGCUGUAUUGGACAAGGGAACCGAAAUCUAUUCUAAUUUAAAAGAGAUCAGUGACUCAAAUAUGUUGGCGCCACACCAAAUCCAAGAUAAGGUUCUGAAGGAUGGCUAGAAGAAGAACGAGAAGACUAUAUCUAGAUAUCUCUAAUAGCAACCUCUGAGGACAACCAUCCAAAGGCAAGAUGGAAUGUGGGGUACUACUGCAAGUGUUGCCUUGAAAAGAAAAGACUGCAGUUGAUUCAAAUGCUCCAGCUACUGCUUGCAGUGCACAGAAGACUGAGACAGGGCUGAUGAAUAACUUUAUAUGUAAUAACAUUAUAACCUUAUUUCACAAAGAUCAAGGUCCUUAAUGUUUUUCUUUUAAUAUGUUUUUUUAUUUAUUUAAAUGGAUGUAGUUUAUUUAAAGAUAUGUAAAGCAUUCUUGUGUUUGCAUGU
Quercus robur (English oak) is the source of this 724-nucleotide long non-coding RNA. RefSeq lists it as uncharacterized. The record is from RefSeq and is a predicted model, not a curated record. The transcript is spliced from 3 exons. Lineage: Eukaryota; Viridiplantae; Streptophyta; Magnoliopsida; Fagales; Fagaceae.